GAUGAAGAAGUAGCGAAAUGCGAUACGUAAUGUGAAUUGCAGAAUUCAGUGAAUCAUCGAAUCUUUGAACGCAUAUUGCGCUCUCUGGUAUUCCGGAGAGCAUGCUUGUUUGAGUAUCAGUAAACACCUCAACUUCCAUAUCUUUUUUGAAAUGGGAGUUGGACUUGAGUGAUCCCAACGCUUUUCCUCACCGAAAAGUGGCGGGUUACUUGAAAUGCAGGUGCAGCUGGACUUUUCUCUGAGCUAUAAGCAUAUCUAUUUAGUCUGCCUAAAAAACAGAUUAUUACCUUUGCUGCAGCUAACAUAAAGGAGAUUAGUUCUUGUGCUGACUGAUGCAGGAUUCACAAAGACAGGCUUCGGCCGACUUUGUAAACUCGAUCUCAAAUCAAGUAAGACUACCCGCUGAACUUAAGCAUAUCAAUAAGCGGAGGA
Molecule: unclassified non-coding RNA, 432 nt
Filed under: soil metagenome
Description: partial contains 5.8S ribosomal RNA, internal transcribed spacer 2, and large subunit ribosomal RNA
Rfam family: 5.8S ribosomal RNA (bases 1-119)
Source: RNAcentral